ACUGCUCAGUAACACGUGGAUAACAUGCCCUAAGGUGGGGGAUAAUCUCGGGAAACUGAGGAUAAUACCCCAUAGAUCUUGAAUGCUGGAAUGCUUCUAGGUCGAAAACUCCGGUGCCUUAGGAUUGGUCUGCGGUCUAUCAGGCUGUAGUGGGUGUAACGGACCCACUAGCCCGUGACGGAUAUGGGCCUUGAGAGAGGGUGCCCAGAGAUGGACUCUGAGACAUGAGUCCAGGCCCUACGGGGCGCAGCAGUCGCGAAAACUUCGCAAUGGGGGAAACCCCGACGAGGGAAUUCCAAGUGCUAGCACUUUGUGUUAGCUGUUCUUCUGUCUAAAAAACAGGAGAAGUAAGGGGCGGGUAAGACGGGUGCCAGCCGCCGCGGUAAUACCCGCGCCCCGAGUGGUGGUCGAUAUUAUUGAGCCUAAAACGUCCGUAGCCGGUCUUCUAAAUCCUUGGGUAAAUCGGGCAGCUUAACUGUCCGAAUUCCGGGGAGACUGGGAGACUUGGGACCGGGAGAGGUCAGAGGUACUUCUGGGGUAGGGGUAAAAUCCUGUAAUCCUGGAAGGACCACCGGUGGCGAAGGCGUCUGACUAGAACGGAUCCGACGGUGAGGGACGAAGCCCUGGGGCGCAAACGGGAUUAGAUACCCCGGUAGUCCAGGGUGUAAACGCUGCGGGCUUGGUGUUGGGGGUCCUUAGUGGGCGCCCAGUGCCGGAGAGAAGUUGUUAAGCCUGCUGCUUGGGGAGUAUGUCCGCAAGGAUGAAACUUAAAGGAAUUGGCGGGGGAGCAC
Molecule: ribosomal RNA, 791 nt
Filed under: uncultured Methanosarcinaceae archaeon
Lineage: Archaea; Methanobacteriati; Methanobacteriota; Methanomicrobia; Methanosarcinales; Methanosarcinaceae
Description: bacterial SSU rRNA
Rfam family: Archaeal small subunit ribosomal RNA
Source: RNAcentral